AUGAAUUCUUGAGUUAAUUUGAAUCGAUUAUUAUGUUUUUAUCAAAACGAUGUUUUUUGUUUUUUACAUUUCUUAGUGUUUGAUGCGGUCAGAUCUAUUGAGUUUGAUCAGGAUCAAUGUAGAUUGGCUUGAAAAAAUGUUGGAUCAUCAUGGCUAAUCAUAAUUAACUAGCCCAUCAUUUGUAAUUAUAAUAACAGUAAAUGGACCUGCAAUUUCCUGAGAUUAUACUGUAAUUAGCUAUCUAAAGUGGAAUUUGGUGCCUUUUGUAGAGAAUGAUUUGAAAGGGAAGCUAGGAGAGCCUGCAUAUUUGGAAGAAUGGAUUACCACCAUCACUUCCUUAACCGCCGGCGAGUCGGCUUUCAAGGUCACCUUUGACUGGGAUGAGGAGAUUGGAGUUCCAGGGGCAUUUCUGAUAAGAAACAAUCAUCACAGUGAAUUCUACCUCAAGACUGUCACACUUGAAGAUGUUCCUGGCCAAGGCCGAGUCCACUUUGUUUGCAACUCGUGGAUUUAUCCUACGAGGCGUUACAAUUAUGAUCGUGUUUUCUUCACUAACCAGGUAAUUAUGCAACCAUAGAAAGCUGAAGGUAGUUGUAAAUGUUUUCCUGAUCUAACAAAUCCUGAUACAUUUGUAUAGAAUUAUCUGCCGCACGAGACACCUGCACCGCUACGUAAAUACAGGGAAGAAGAACUGGUUAAAUUGAGAGGAGAUGGAAAAGGAGAGCUUAAGGAAUGGGACCGCGUUUACGACUAUGCUUACUACAAUGAUUUGGGAGAUCCUGACAAGGGUGCAAAGUAUGCCCGCCCAGUUCUUGGUGGAUCUUCUGAGUACCCUUAUCCUCGUAGGGGCAGAACUGGCCGAGCACCAGCAAAAUCAGGUCUUUACCUGUUGAGCGUCAUCUCGCAUUCAUGUUAUCAUCAAUGGUUUGUGAUUUUAUUUUUUGUUCACACUCUUACAAUUUCCGUGAUCUAAACAGAUCCCAACACUGAGAGCAGGCUGCCACUUCUCAUGAGCUUAAACAUAUAUGUUCCAAGAGAUGAACGAUUCGGUCACCUGAAGUUGGCUGACUUCCUUGCUUAUGCACUGAAAUCCGUCGCUCAAUUUAUUAAGCCUGAACUGGAAGCUUUACGUGACAGCACCCCUAAUGAGUUUGACUCCUUUGCUGAUGUACUGGAUCUCUAUGAGGGAGGGUUUAAGCUGCCUGAUGGUCCCCUACUAGAAAAUCUUAAGAAAAACAUUCCCGUGGAGAUGCUCAAGGAAAUUAUUCGAACUGAUGGAGAAGGCCUUUUCAGAUUUCCAAAGCCUCAAGUGAUUCAAGGUUUGAACUAAGGCAUUUAACUCUAUGCUUGUGCUGUUCUUAGACUGUCACUUUCUCGUUUUCAGCAACUUAAUUGUGAUCUAUUAAUUAUACAGAGAGCAAUUCUGCUUGGAGGACGGAUGAAGAAUUCGGUAGAGAAAUGCUGUCUGGAGUAAACCCUGUUCUCAUCCGUCGUCUUGAGGUACACUGAAGCUGCAACAAGUUUUUCUUUCUGCAAAAUUUAUAUUUUUUGUUUUUCUUGUGUCUAAGAACAAAUUAUUGCAGGAAUUCCCUCCCAAAAGCAAGCUAGACAGCAAACUUUAUGGUGAUCAAAACAGCACCAUAACUGAGGAGCACAUCAAGGAUAGUCUGGAUGGACUGUCCAUAGAUGAGGUAAGCUAUCUCUCGAUUGGUUUCUUCGACAAUUAUGUUUAGAAUCGGAUCUGUGAACGCUUCACGGAUGUAAUUGAUGAAUUUAAUCUUCCCAAAAGACAUGUUGUAGCUGACACACUUUGCUUCUGAAUAGGCGAUCGAGAAGAACAGGAUGUUCAUAUUAGAUCACCAUGAUGCAUUGAUGCCAUACCUGAGGAGGAUAAACACUACUACCACGAAGACUUAUGCAUCAAGGACUCUGCUUUUCUUGAAAGAUGACGGGACUUUGAAGCCUCUUGUAAUUGAGUUAAGCUUGCCCCAUGAAGAAGGAGAUGAAUUUGGAGCCAUUAGCAAAGUCUACACCCCAGCUGAACAUGGCGUUGAAGGCUCCAUUUGGGAUCUGGCUAAAGCUUAUGUGGCUGUUAACGACUCCGGUUACCAUCAGCUUAUUAGCCAUUUCUUGAACACUCAUGCUGUGAGUGAGCCAUUUGUGAUUGCAACAAAUAGACAACUCAGCGUGCUUCACCCAAUCUAUAAACUUUUGGAACCUCACUUCCGUGACACAAUGAACAUCAAUGCGCUCGCUAGGCAGACGCUCAUCAAUGCUGGUGGAAUCCUGGAAUCAACGGUUUAUCCUGCAAAGUAUGCCAUGGAAAUGUCAUCAGUAAUUUACAAAAACUGGAAUUUCACAGAGCAAGCACUUCCUGAAGACCUGAAGAAGAGGUAAACCUUAGUUUACUCAUAAAGGCUAAUUCAUAGUUGUUCAUAAUUAAUUUGCUAGAAUCUUAGAACUUGAAAUUAAAAAAACCACAGAGAAAUGCGUUGGGAACUUAGACUAUGGUUAAUUCUGUGAUGAUGCUGUAUUUCAUUUCAAUGACAUGUGCUACCUUGUUUACUCAGAGGAGUGGCAGUGGAGGAUCCAAAGUCUCCACAUGGUGUUCGCCUACUGAUAGAAGACUAUCCAUACGCUGUUGAUGGGCUAGAGAUAUGGUCAGCAAUCAAAGAAUGGGUCAGAGACUACUGCUUUUUCUACUACAAGAAUGAUGAGAUGAUUCAAAAGGAUUCUGAACUACAAUCAUGGUGGAAGGAAGUGAGAGAGGAAGGGCAUGGUGACCUGAAAGAUGCACCCUGGUGGCCUAAGAUGCUGACUCGUGAAGAGCUAAUAGACUCAUGCACCAUAAUCAUAUGGGUGGCAUCAGCUCUCCAUGCAGCUGUCAAUUUUGGUCAGUACCCUUAUGCAGGCUACCUUCCCAAUCGUCCAACCGUAAGCCGAAGGUUCAUGCCCGAGGAAGGCUCUCCUGAAUAUGAGGAGCUCAAGUCGAACCCUGAUAAGGCUUUCUUGAAAACAAUCACUGCACAGUUGCAAACACUUCUUGGAAUUUCCCUCAUAGAAAUUCUGUCAAGGCAUUCCUCAGAUGAGGUGUAUCUUGGACAGAGAGACACUCAUGAAUGGACAGCAGACAAGAAACCAUUAGAGGCGUUUGAGAAAUUUGGAAAGAAACUGGCAGAAAUCGAGGACAAAAUGCUAGACAUGAACAAAGCUGGGAAAUGGAAGAAUCGGGUCGGUCCAGUCGAGGUGCCAUACACUUUGUUGGUUCCUACCAGUGAAGGUGGACUCACUGGAAGGGGAAUUCCUAACAGCGUCUCAAUCUAAAUCUUCUCCAUAAGACUAUUUAUUCUAUUCUUACUCAUUUGUCGGUAUGAAAGCAGUACCUGAUUCUUGUUAGCAUCCAAGGCACAUAUGUCCUGAUGUAAUAAACUCCAUAAAUAAUGCAGAAUAAAAGUUGUUCCUUUUUGUCAUUUGAUUGGAGUUGAAUUCACUUAAACAAUAACAUCGUACUUGCUGAUGGGCUAAUUAGCUGACCAAGCAGAGUUUAAAGAGAACUUCCAUUUCUUGAUUUAAGCGCUCAAAAUGCUGACACAUUUUUCUCUUCCUAAGGCCGGAACUACAAUUAUAAGUGGAUAAUUUUCGUUGUGAUGAUGAAAACUUGUCCUUGUUACUGUUCUAACAUUUUUCCAUAGCUUAACCUGUUAGCUAGACUCCAUUGCAAAAGAGACUCUUGAAAUCAGAUCCCCCCUCCUUUAACUUGUUGAAUGAUGCAUGAAAUGCAUGGACAAUUGUUCUCUUCAUAAAGCCUUGUAAGGCCUGCUUGCAUUUUUAUCAGCAGAAGCAGAAGGUACUGAACAACAUACCUUUACUCUAUUGUAAAUGUUCUGACCAAGUACAUCCCAGUCCUUUCCCUGCCAGGCUAACCUGGGGAAGGGAUAAAUAUUACAGUCUGAGCUUCCUAUCACAUUAACUUACUCCUGAGGAAGCGUUUCAGGUGUGCUUGUAUUUUUUUCAAGAAGCAGCUACUUCCGAGUUGCUUUCUAUGCUAUUAAUUUGCUCUUGAUAAGAACCAACAUUUCCUUAUUACUGUACUUAUCACCUAGGUAGGGCUAACAGGAGCUAGACGUAUAUUUUCUUUACGUUCAAUUCAUCAUUUACAAAAGUAAAUAUUAAUUUUAUUUCCUGCAACAUAAGCGAGUUGCUAAACCAGAUUCAAAAGUUCUAAUGUUGACUCAAAAGACAAAUUUGUAAAAAACUUUCUUCAGCAUCAUACUUUUUAAUGGAGUUCUCCCUCUCCCUUUCUACUUUGUAAGUUGUGAACGGAUUUUUGUGUGUGAGAGCACAUUCAUUAAGGAAACCAUUGAUCCUUUUUUAAUGUAGUAAAUAGUCUUCUACAUAUUAAUUUUGUACUUUCCUCUAACUUCCUUAAUCUGACGAGGUUGAUACAAGCCUAUCUCAAGUCAGUUUUGUUUUCUAUAUAUAAUUAACUCCGCCAAUCCAUGACCCGAGCUUCGGGCUUAAUGUGAUGAUAACUAGGCAUAAAAGAAGUAAAUAAUGGCCGGUAAGUCUUAGUCUACUCACAAAUUAAAGUCUGAUUCGGAGCUGUGUGAACCUCCUCUGUCUUAAUUUGUCCUUGAUUGCUUCCUUCAUUAAUUGUCUCAAUGCAGGGUCUUCAAACCAAAUUGAAUUUGAUAUGAUGAAAAUUAUCAUAAUUGAUAUCUUCAAAAUAAAAAAAUAAAAAAGCACAUGUCAUACAUGUGGACUUGUAAGUACCUGUCCUUGUAAGUAGUAGGCCAGUCUUCACAAGUCCAGUAAAAAGACUAGCAACAGUGCAAAUUCAAUAUGAAAGAGAGACUUUAACAAAACUCAUCUUUUUUCCAAGGAAAUGCAAUGUGGCAAGUGAAGCUUCUCAGUCUUUACCACGUACAUAUUCCCUCUCUAUAAAGACCUUCUCCACUCACCUUAGUUGGCAUCACAAGCCUAGCUUUAGUAGAUUCUUUUUGUAGCCCAAGAAGAGAGCAACCAGGCAAGAGGGAAAGAAAUGUUUCAGAACAUCGUUAAUGCUAUCGCAUCAUGCUGUGCAGGGGACAGUAAGAUGAAGAUCAAAGGCACUGUUGUGUUGAUGAAGAAGAAUGUCUUAGAAUUCAAUGACUUUCAUGCUUCGGUUCUUGAUCGUGGCCAUGAGUUGUUUGGCCAAGGAGUCUCUCUGCAAGUCAUUAGCGCUGCCAAAAGUGACCCUCCAGGUAUAUACAACAGUUCUUUCAUCAUUUUGUUGCUGAUUCAGUACUUCAUGCCUUUUCAAUCCCAAGAUGUUUUUCUUUUAUUGCUUGAUGAAGUUCAUUAAGAACACCUAGAGGGCUAGAAUAAGCACCCAGGAGAGGAAAUUCAUACAAAAAGCCAAAGGGGAGAGAGUAUAAGCCAAAGAGCAAGACAAGCUAGACAUGCAUGAAAAACACAAGAAAAACCUUAUCCUGCUCCCCAAGAUCAGGAUAUCAUCAUGAGAGGCGGCAGUACAUAAACAAAAGAAAAGUGAUGUAAGCUGCAAAUCAUGGCUCCUUUUGCCACAAGCCAGCUGAGCUUUAUACAAAUAGAGAAUAGGUCCAGGGGCUGUACGUAGAGCCAGAAGCCUGAACAACUAAACCUAGCUACCAAGCACCCCAAAAGACCACUCAACACCGAUCAGCAGCAGAUUAGUAUCCACAAGGGACACAAUCAAAUAAGAUUUGCAGCAGAAAAUUAAAGUUGGGAGGCUAGGGAAACCAGUAAAUUUGCUAGUGGGGAGAACAAAGAAUUUUAAAUUAGCAAGUAUAAACCCGACAGUGACAAGAUUAUUAAGUUAUGCUUGAUUCUCCAUAGUUGACCAUUUUCCAUGUGUGGUUUAUAGUCUUCCUUUCACACGUAUAUGCACCGUUUUAAUCAAUGUUACGGUCACUCGGUACAAGGCUGUGUCAUGAGUUGGAGAAUUUAACCUUAUCCUGUUCAGUGACCUGCUCCAAUACCCGUUAUAAUCAAGUUUGAUGCAUACAUCAUGGUAGGGACUAGGAACAUUAAGGCUGUGACAACUCUUCAUAGUCACUGCCAUGUUACUUUAUGAAAAUGCAUGAAACAAAUUCGAAGGCAGAAAUUGUUUUUUCCUAUGAUAUUUUUGCCUGUCAGGAAAACAUUAAAUAUAUAAGGAGGAUACUUUUGCCUGUCAUAGUUUUUAGAAAAAGUUAAUAUUUUUGCCUGUCAUAGUUUUUAGAAAAACAUUAAAUAUAUAAGGAGUUAGGUUGGGCGUGUUUUCUAUGAUUUUACUCUUAGGAGUGGUCACCUGUUCCUGGACCGUGUCUAAUGUUCAUAAUAUAAAAUAAAAUCUUUAAAUUAUUAGGGUAGUAUCAAUUUUUCACUAAAAUUAUUUUUUAUAUCAAAAUUUACCCCUAAAACUAUUUUAAUUUCUCAAUUAUGACUUUUAUAAGAAUUACUUAAUAGAAAGCAUUAAAUUUUCAAAUGAUGUCAUGUUCUUACAAAAGAAAAGUACAAUUUUGAUUGGAAACGUGGAUGGAAUGACUUCGGGUGCGUUUGGCACUGUUUUUUUUUAAAAAAUUAAUUAAUUUUUAUUUUAAAUUAAUAUGUUUUUGAUAUUUUUAAAUUAUUUUAAUGUGUUGAUUUCAAAAAUAAUUUUUUAAAAAUAAAAAUAUUAUUAAUAUAUUUUUUUAAAUAAAAAAUAUUUUUAAAAAUAACCAUGUUUUCAAACAUGUUUCAAAGCAGACAAAAACCAUUAAAUUAUGACUUUCUUCAAUCACCCAUCUUACCCUUGGGUCUCAUCUCACUGUCUCUCACAAGGUCAUGAUCACGACCCCUAAAAUGGUUGAUGUGGUAAGGCACGAAACCCACUACUGCUAACUUUUUGGACAUGUAUGGAUGAUCAUGUCGAGGACUAGGGGCAUAAAGAUUCUGACGUUAUUUAUACCUAAAUGCACUGUGCUUGGAGUAAAUUUCAAAAUCGAAAUGAGGCCAAACCAAGUCACGGGCAUCACCUCAAGUCAAAGGAAAUAUGGUUGGUGACAAGGACUUUCAAAGAGUAAUAAAUUUCUACGUAAAUUCUUUUAAUAUGCCUGUAAGUAUGAUCAUUCUUAUUACAUCAUAAUUCUUUCUUGUUACUCCAUGAUCUGUGGGAUAGACUCACACGAUUGUUGCUAACAUGAGGCUGUAGGUUGUUAAUAUUCCUCUGCAAACUAAGCAGAGGUAGAAGGCACAGUUUGUUGCGAAAAUAUACAAGGGCAGCCUUGGGCACUGGUUUAGUAAAUAUAUCAGCAAUCUGAUUAGCAGAGGACACAUGUUUAGUGACAAGUAAUCCAAGUGCAACUUGUUCGCGUACAAAAUGGUAAUCCAACUCAAUGUGUUUACUCCGAGCGUGAAAGACAGGAUUGAUGGUCAUGUAUAGAGCACUGAUAUUAUCGCAGUAGAGAAUUGGUGGAUGUGAUAGAGAUAUGCGAAGAUCUUUAAAGAUGUAUGUGAGCCACGUAAGUUCAGCAGUAGUAUUAGUCAUAGCUCGAUAUUUAGCUUCGGUACUGGAUCGAGAGAUUGUGUGUUGUUUUUUUGAACACCAGGAAAUGAUAUUGGUGCCAAGAAAGGUGCAGUAACCGGUGGUAGAUCUUCGUGUUGUAGGGCAGCCAGCCCAAUCCACAUCUGAGAAGGCAUGCAAUUCAAGAGUUGUAUUGGAAGAGAGACGUAGACCAGUAGCUAUUGUUCCUUUGAGGUCUCGAAGGAUGCGCUAAACCAGUUUCAAGUGGGCAAUUGUAGGAUUGUGCAUGAAUUGUGAAACAUAGUUGACACUGUAGGAUAGAUCGGGUCCAUAAGUGUGAGGUAUUGGAGAGCACCAAUAAUCCUACGAAACUGGGAUCAGCAAUGGAGGUAGUAUCUGCAUUUAUUUUGAAUUUGACUUUCAAAGGCGUGCUCAUGGGUUUGCAAUGAAGCAUACUAGAGCGGUCAUGGAUGGUAAGUGCAUAGUGUGACUGAGACAAAUAUAGUCCAAGGCAAAGGUAGAUCUAAAUUAACCCAGGAGUUGAUUACUGAUUCAAUAAUCUUAACUUCUUUCUGAAUCGUACCUGAAGCUUGAGUCAAUCAUUACAGCUAUAUAUAUUUUACCCAAUCCCCUUCAUCUCUCUAUCUACAUUGAAAUAUAUCUUUUUCUUAUUGUUUUUGUAUAAUUCUUGGACCUGCUAUUAUUUUAUAUUGUCAACAUGACCAUAUUUAUUCAUAGGUUUACCCAUUCCAACUAAUCUUUUUCUUUAUUACAUCCUCGUGUGCAUAUAAGUUAUUACACCUUGCUAAUAAUAUAUUGGUGUUAUACCAUGUCCACUACCAGAAAAUUGUCUGAGUCUAUCCCACAAAUCAUGAAGUGACAAGAAAGAAUUAUGAAGUAAUAAGGAUGAUUAUACUCACAUGUAUAUCAAAGGAAAUAUUGUUGGUGAUAAGGACUUUCCAAGAGUAACAAAUUCCUACGUAAAUGAUAAUUCAACAGCUAAAUACAGAGGGAAAUUAUCAAGUGUAGCUGUCAAUUAUUAUCUUUUUAUCAAAACGAUGUCUUUUGUUUUUUUUUUACAUUUCUUAGAGUUUGAUGCGGUCAGAUCUAUUGAGUUUGAUCAGGAUUAAUGUAGAUUGGCUUGAAAAAAUGUUGGAUCAUCAUGGCUAAUCAUAAUUAACGUAGCCCAUCAUUUGUAAUUAUAACAACAGUAAAUGGACCUGCAAUUUCCUGAGAUUAUACUGUAAUUAGCUAUCUAAAGUGGAAUUUGGUGCCUUUUGUAGAGAAUGAUUUGAAAGGGAAGCUAGGAGAGCCUGCAUAUUUGGAAGAAUGGAUUACUACCAUCACUUCCUUAACCGCCGGCGAGUCGGCUUUCAAGGUCACCUUUGACUGGGAUGAGGAGAUUGGAGUUCCAGGGGCAUUUCUGAUAAGAAACAAACAUCACAGUGAAUUCUACCUCAAGACUGUCACACUUGAAGAUGUUCCUGGCCAAGGCCGAGUCCACUUUGUUUGCAACUCGUGGAUUUAUCCUACGAAAUGUUACAAUUAUGAUCGUGUUUUCUUCACUAACCAGGUAAUUAUGCAACCAUAGAAAGCUGAAGGUAGUUGUAAAUGUUUUCCUGAGCAAACAAAUCCUGAUACAUUUGUAUAGAAUUAUCUGCCGCACGAGACACCUGCACCGCUACGUAAAUACAGGGAAGAAGAACUGGUUAAAUUGAGAGGAGAUGGAAAAGGAGAGCUUAAGGAAUGGGACCGCGUUUACGACUAUGCUUACUACAAUGAUUUGGGAGAUCCUGACAAGGGUGCAAAGUAUGUCCGCCCUGUUCUUGGUGGAUCUUCUGAGUACCCUUAUCCUCGUAGGGGCAGAACUGGCCGAGCACCAGCAAAAUCAGGUCAUUACCUGUUGAGCGUCAUCUCGCAUUCAUGUUAUCAUCAAUGGUUUGUGAUUUUAUUUUUUGUUCACACUCUUACAAUUUCCGUGAUCUAAACAGAUCCCAACACUGAGAGCAGGCUGCCACUUCUCAUGAGCUUAAACAUAUAUGUUCCAAGAGAUGAACGAUUCGGUCACCUGAAGUUGGCUGACUUCCUUGCUUAUGCACUGAAAUCCGUCGCUCAAUUUAUUAAGCCUGAACUGGAAGCUUUACGUGACAGCACCCCUAAUGAGUUUGACUCCUUUGCUGCUGUACUGGAUCUCUAUGAGGGAGGGUUUAAGCUGCCUGAUGGUCCCCUACUAGAAAAUCUUAAGAAAAACAUUCCCGUGGAGAUGCUCAAGGAAAUUAUUCGAACUGAUGGAGAAGGCCUUUUCAGAUUUCCAAAGCCUCAAGUGAUUCAAGGUUUGAACUAAGGCAUUUAACUCUGUGCCUGUGCUGUUCUUAGACUGUCACUUUCUCUUUUUCAGCAACUUAAUUGCGAUCUAUUAAUUACACAGAGAGCAAUUCUGCUUGGAGGACGGAUGAAGAAUUCGGUAGAGAAAUGCUGUCUGGAGUAAACCCUGUUAUCAUCCGUCGUCUUGAGGUACACUGAAGCUGCAACAAGUUUUUCUUUCUGCAAAAUUUAUAUUUUUUGUUUUUCUUGUGUCUAAGAACAAAUUAUUGCAGGAAUUCCCUCCCAAAAGCAAGCUAGACAGCAAACUUUAUGGUGAUCAAAACAGCACCAUAACUGAGGAGCACAUCAAGGAUAGUCUGGAUGGACUGUCCAUAGAUGAGGUAAGCUAUCUCUCGAUUGGUUUCUUCGACAAUUAUGUUUAGAAUCGGAUCUGUAAACGCUUCACGGAUGUAAUUGAUGAAUUUAAUCUUCCCAAAAGACAUGUUGUAGCUGAAACACUUUGCUUCUGAAUAGGCGAUCGAGAAGAACAGGAUGUUCAUAUUAGAUCACCAUGACGCAUUGAUGCCAUACCUGAGGAGGAUAAACACUACUACCACGAAGACUUAUGCAUCAAGGACUCUGCUUUUCUUGAAAGAUGACGGGACUUUGAAGCCUCUUGUAAUUGAGUUAAGCUUGCCCCAUGAAGAAGGAGAUGAAUUUGGAGCCAUUAGCAAAGUCUACACCCCAGCUGAACAUGGCGUUGAAGGCUCCAUUUGGGAUCUGGCUAAAGCUUAUGUGGCUGUUAACGACUCCGGUUACCAUCAGCUUAUUAGCCAUUUCUUGAACACUCAUGCUGUGAGUGAGCCAUUUGUGAUUGCAACAAAUAGACAACUCAGCGUGCUUCACCCAAUCUAUAAACUUUUGGAACCUCACUUCCGUGACACAAUGAACAUCAAUGCGCUCGCUAGGCAGACGCUCAUCAAUGCUGGUGGAAUCCUGGAAUCAACGGUUUAUCCUGCAAAGUAUGCCAUGGAAAUGUCAUCAGUAAUUUACAAAAACUGGAAUUUCACAGAGCAAGCACUUCCUGAAGACCUGAAGAAGAGGUAAGCCUUAGUUUACUCGUAAAGGCUAAUUCAUAGUUGUUCAUAAUUAAUUUGCUAGAAUCUUAGAACUUGAAAUUAAAAAAACCACAGAGAAAUGCGUUGGGAACUUAGACUUUGGUUAAUUCUGUGAUGAUGCUGUAUUUCAUUUCAAUGACAUGUGCUACCUUGUUUACUCAGAGGAGUGGCAGUGGAGGAUCCAAAGUCUCCACAUGGUGUUCGCCUGCUGAUAGAAGACUAUCCAUACGCUGUUGAUGGGCUAGAGAUAUGGUCAGCGAUCAAAGAAUGGGUCAGAGACUAUUGCUCUUUCUACUACAAGAAUGAUGAGAUGAUUCGAAAGGAUUCUGAACUACAAUCAUGGUGGAAGGAAGUGAGAGAGGAAGGGCAUGGUGACCUGAAAGAUGCACCCUGGUGGCCUAAGAUGCUGACUCGAGAAGAGCUAAUAGACUCAUGCACCAUAAUCAUAUGGGUGGCGUCAGCCCUCCAUGCAGCUGUCAAUUUUGGUCAGUACCCUUAUGCAGGCUACCUUCCCAAUCGUCCAACCGUAAGCCGAAGGUUCAUGCCCGAGGAAGGUUCUCCUGACUAUAAGGAGCUCAAGUCGAACCCUGAUAAGGCUUUCUUGAAAACAAUCACUGCACAGUUGCAAACACUUCUUGGAAUUUCCCUCAUAGAAAUUCUGUCAAGGCAUUCCUCAGAUGAGGUGUAUCUUGGACAGAGAGACACUCAUGAAUGGACAGCAGACAAGAAACCAUUAGAGGCGUUUGAGAAAUUUGGAAAGAAACUGGCAGAAAUUGAGGACAAAAUGUUAUACAUGAACAAAGCUGGGAAAUGGAAGAAUCGGGUCGGUCCAGUCGAGGUGCCAUACACUUUGUUGGUUCCUACCAGUGAAGGUGGACUCACUGGAAGGGGAAUUCCUAACAGCGUCUCAAUCUAAAUCUUCUCCAUAAGACUAUUUAUUCUAUUCUUACUCAUUUGUCGGUAUGAAAGCAGCAACUGAUUCUUGUUAGCAUCUAAGGCACAUAUGUCCUGAUGUAAUAAACUCUAUAAAUAAUGCAGAAUAAAAGUUGUUCUUUUUUGUCAUUUGAUUGGAGUUGAAUUCACUUAAACAAAAACAUUGUACUUGCUGAUGGGCUAAUUAGCUGACCAAGCAGAGUUUAAAGGGAACUUCCAUUUCUUGAUUUAAGCGCUCAAAAUGCUGACACAUUUUCUCUUCCUAAGACAGGAACUACAAUUAGAAGCGGAUAAUUUCCCUUGUAAUGAUGAAAACUUGUCCUUGUUACUGUUCUAACGUUUUUCCAUAGCUUAACCUGUUAGCUAGACUCUCCAUUGCAAAAGAGACUCUUGAAAUCAGAUCCCCCCUCCUUUAACUUGUUGAAUGAUGCAUGAAAUGCAUGGACAAUUGUUCUCUUCAUAAAGCCUUGUAAGGCCUGCUUGCAUUUUAAUCAGCAGAAGCAGAAGGUACUGAACGACAUACAUUUACUCAAUUAUAAAUGUUCUGACCAAGUACAUCCCAGUCCUUUCCCUGCCAGGCUAGCCUGGGGAAGGGAGAAAUUUUACAGUCUGAGCUUCCUAUCACAUUAACUUACUCCUGAGGAAACGUUUCAGGUGUGCUUGUAUUUUUAUCAAGAAGCAGCUACUCCUGAGUUGCUUUCUAUGCUAUUAAUUUGCUCCUGAUAAGAGCCAACAUUUCCUUAUUACUGUACUUAUCACUUAGGGUUCAUACCAUUAGGGCUAACAGGAGCGAGACAUAUAUUUUCUUAAGUUCAAACACCAUCUGUGCCUUGAUCUGCCAGGCAUGAAUUCAUCACUUACAAAGUAAAUAUUAAUUUUACUUCCUGCAACAUAAGCGAAUUUCUAGAGUUUGUGAGAAUUAAAACAUUAAUCCUCUGCUUACUUAAACUAUGCAUGUGAUCUGACAUGCAUAUUUCUUGUUAUUGUGCUCAUUGUUUAACAUUUUGUAAAGGAAUUGGAGUAAUUCAACAAGAAAAUCAAUUAAUAGAUACGCAGACAGAUUCAAAAGUUCUUAUGUUGACUCAAAAGACAAAUUUGUAAAAAACUUUCUUCAGCAUCAUACUUUUUAAUGGAGUUCUCCCUCUCCCUUUCUUCUUUGUAAGUUGUGAACGGAUUUUUGUGUGAGAGAGCUCAUUCAUUAAGGAAACCAUUGAUCCUUUUCUAAUGUAGUAAAUAGUCUUCUACAUAUUAAUUCUGUACUUUCCUCUAACUUGCUUAAUCUGACGAGGUUGAUACAAGCCUAUCUCAAGUCAGUUUUGUUUUCUAUAUAUAUUUAACUCCGCCAAUCCAUGACCCGAGCUUCGGGCUUAAUGUGAUGAUAACUAGGCAUAAAAGAAGUAAAUAAUGGCCGGUAAGUCUUAGUCUACUCGCAAAUUAAAGUCUGAUUCGAAGCUGUGUGAACCUCCUCUGUCUUAAUUUGUCCUUGAUUGCUUCCUUCAUUAAUUGUCUCAAUGCAGGGUCUUCAUCAAAUUGAAUUUGAUAUGAUGAAAAUUAUCAUAUUUGAUAUCUUCAAAAUAAAAAAAUAAAAAAGCACAUGUCAUACAUGUGGACUUGUAGUACCUGUCCUUGUAAGUAGUAGGCCAGUCUUCACAAGUCCAGUAAAAAGACUAGCAACAGGGCAAAUUCAAUAUGAAAGAGAGACUUUAACAAAACUCAUCUUUUUUCCAAGGAAAUGCAAUGUGGCAAGUGAAGCUUCUCAGUCUUUACCACGUAUAUAUCCCCUCUCUAUAAAGACCUUCUCCACUCACCUUAGGUGGCAUCACAAGCCAAGCUUUAGUAGAUUCUUUUUGUAGCCCAAGAAGAGAGCAACCAGGCAAGAGGGAAAGAAAUGUUUCAGAACAUUGUUACUGCUAUCGCAUCAUGCUGUGCAGGGGACAGUAAGAUGAAGAUCAAAGGCACUGUUGUGUUGAUGAAGAAGAAUGUCUUAGAAUUCAAUGACUUUCAUGCUUCGGUUCUUGAUCGUGGCCAUGAGUUGUUAGGCCAAGGAGUCUCUCUGCAAGUCAUUAGCGCUGCUAAAAGUGACCCUCCAGGUAUAUAUACAACAGUUCUUUCAUCAUUUUGUUGCUGGUUCAGUGCUUCAUGCAUGCCUUUUCAAUCCCAUGAUGUUUUUCUUUUGUUGCUCGAUGAAGUUCAUUAAGAACACCUAGAGGGCUAGCUAGAAUAAGCACCCAAGAGAGGAAAUUCAUACACAAAGCCAAAGGGGAGAGAGUAUAAGCCAAAGAACAAGACAAGCUAGACAUACAUGAAAAACACAAGAGAAACCUUAUCCUGCUCCCCAAGAUCAGGAUAUCAUCUUGAGAUGCGGCAGUCCAUAAACAAAAGAAAAGGAUGUAGGCUGCAAAUCAUGGCUCAUUUUUCCACAAGCCAGCUGAGCUUUAUACAAAUAGAGAAUAGGGUCCAGGGGCUGUAGAGCCAGAAGCCUGUACAACUAAACCUAGCUACCAGGCACCCCAAAAGACCACUCAACACCGAUCAGCAGCAGAUUAGUAUCCACAAGGGACACAAUCAAAUAAAUUUUGCAGCAGAAAAUUAAAGUUGGGAGACUGGGGAUACCAGUUGAAAGAUUAAACAAAUAUAUGCUGACAGAAGAUGAAGAAAUUUAUUCUCUGCAUUCACAAUAAUGUUUUACAGUGUACAUAUAUAUAUGCGUACAACUUGAAAAUAGGAUAAUUGCAGGUAUUUGAAUUUUAAACUAUAACAGAUUAUUUUUAUUCAUCUUCUUCCUCUAUCUUCCUCUGAUCUUUCUCCUAUGCUUGAUUCUGUUCCUAAUUUUGUUGAGGUUGUUAUGCUAUUCAAUACUCUAACACCCCUUCUCAAACUGUGGGGAAGAAGACAGACACACAGUUUGUCUCUUAGAAAGCAAUACCGAUUUGCAGUAUGGCUUUUUGUAAAGACAUCGGCAAUUUGGUUGUGUUGAGGUAUGCUGAAUUUGAAUAGCAUGAUUAACCACCUUCUCCUUAACGAAAUAGUAGUCAAUUUUGAUGUGUUUCGUGCGUGAAUGAAAGACAGGAUUAGAAGCUAAUGCAAUAGCACUGACAUUGUCACACCAUAAGCUUGGGGCAGUAGACAACGUUAUAAUUGAUAUGUAAUUCUUGAAGAAGCAUGCGAAGCCAGUACAGUUCAGCAGUUGUAUGAGCCAUGCUUCUAUAUUCAGCCUCUGUGCUAGAUCGAGAGACAACACUCUGCUUUUUGCUGCACCAAGAUAUAAGAUUAGUGCCAAGAAACACACCAUAACCAGUGGUGCUCCGCCUAUUAUCAGGAUUGCCUGCCCAAUCAGAGUCACAGUAGGCAUGCAUUGUGAUUGUCCCUGGAGUGUAAAGAAGACCAAACUCGAUAGUACCUUUUAGAUAGCGUAAGACAUGCUUGACAGCUAUCCAGUGCAGUUCACGCGGAAAAUGCAUAAACUGGCAUAAUUGGUUUACUGAGUAGGAAAUAUCUGGUCUUGUGAUUGUGCAGUAUUGAAGAGCCCCUACAACUCGUCGAUAUUCAGUUGGAUUUUCUAACAGUUCACCAGCAGUAGAUGGGAGUUUAGAGCCAGAGGAUGAUGGACAACGGAGAGGCCUUGCACCAAGCAUGUAGGUACUGUUGAGCAAAUCAGUGAUAUACUUAGUCUGUCGCAGAUGUAAACCAGCUUGGUUCCUAAGUGCUUCAACACCAAGAAAGUAGCUCAAUUCACCCAAGUCUUUAAUUGGAAACACAUUCUGUAGUUGAUCAAUAAAAUAAUGAACUGCUUGACGUCGGAUCCUGUGAUUAUUAUAUCAUCAACGUAUACUAACACAAAAACACGUAAAGUGUCAGAAUUGUAUGUAAACAAUGAAUAAUCCAUCUUGGAUUCUAAAAAACCAAAGUCAAUCAGUUGUUGUGAGAGACGUUUGAACCAAGCUCGAGGAGCUUGUUUGAGGCCAUAAAUAGACUUGUGUAGAUAGCAUACAUGAUUAGGAAAGGUUUGAUCUUCAUAACCUUUUGGUUGUUUCAUAUAUACUUCUUCAUCUAGAAUACCAUGCAGAAAGGCAUUGGAAACAUCCAAUUGCCGAAUAUUCCAUUUGAACGAGACUACAAGAGAGAGGAUUGACCUGAUGGUAGUAGGCUUCACUACUGGGGAAAAAGUAUCAAAGUAAUCAAUACAAGGAAUUUGUUCAAACCCCUUAGCUACAAGUCUUGCUUUGUAGCGAUCAAUACUGCCAUCAAGAUGUCUUUUAAGCUUAUACACCCAUUUAUUUCUGACAACAUGUGUAUGUAAAGGUCUAGGACAGAGAGACCAUGUGUUAUUUGCCAGUAACGCAUUAAAUUCACGUCGCAUUGCUACUUUCCAAUGUCGAUUGGAUACUGCCUUUGUGAAAUCAGAUUCAAUGACUAUACUGGAUAAAACUCGUAGAGGAUGUCGAGUAGAAUAAAAAGUUUUAAAACCAGGAAACUCUUUAGGCUUAAGACUUCCUGUUUUGGAUCUGGUAACCAUCUGUCUAGGCAGUACUGGGGACAUUGCAGGAGAGGAACUAGGAUCAGUUAACGACACAUGAUUUGUGGAAGAAGGCAGUACUGGGGAAGGCAGUAUUGGGGACAUGGCAGGACAGGAACUAGGAUCAGAUAAUGACACAUGAUUUGUGGAAGAAGGUGUAGGAAUUGGAGUUUCAAUUGCAGAAGGUUGCAAGGGUGGACUUUCAGUGUAAGGAGGACUUUCGGUAGCAGAAGAGUUUGUUGGUAUAACAGGUGGAGUAAAAUUGAAAUGUUGUGCAUGAGAAAUUAAAGGAACUAUAUUGAAAGAAAGAGUAGUACCUGAAGACUGGUUGCUCGCAGGAGUGGUAGAAGAGUGACUUUUAUCCAAGUGAGGGAAAAUGUCUUCAUCAAAAACAACAUGCCUGGAGAUAAACACCCUACCUGUAGCAAAAUCUAAACAACGAUAACCUUUUUGUUGAUUUGAGUACCCUAAGAAAAUACAUUGCUUGCUUCUGAAAGCUAACUUAUGUUUUUCAUAUGGUCUGCGAUAAGGAUAGCAUGCACAACCAAAUGUGCGCAAAUCAGAGUAUCGCGGCAUAGUUUUGUGGAGUACAAAGUAUGGUGUUAUAUUAUUAAGGACUUUUGUUGGUAAACGAUUUAUCAGGUAUACUGAAGUUAAGAAGGCAUCUACCCAAUAACAGUUUGGAAGGCAGGCUUGUGCUAAUAGGGUCAAUCCUAUUUCUUGAAUAUGUCGAUGUUUACGUUCAACAAUUCCAUUUUGUAGGGAUGUAUAGGGACAUGUCAAGCGAUGAAAUAUUCCAUGUUCAGCUAAAAAAUUUUGAAACUCUAUUGAUAAGUAUUCUCCACCAUUAUCAGAUUAUAGUUGUUGAAUUGUGCAGGAGAAUAGAUUUUCAACAAAAACUUUAUAUUGUUGAAAUAUGGAAAAGACAUCACUUUUGAAACGUAUAGGAUACAUCCAUGUAAAACGAAUGAAAUCAUCAAUGAAUAAAACGUAAUAUCGAUAUCCCCCUGCUGAAGGAACAUGAGAUAUCCAGACAUCAAUGUGAAUCAAGGCUAAAGGUCUAGCUGAUUGUCUUGGAGAAUCACUAAAAGGUAGCUUUUUAGCUUUCCCUAACUGGCAGGAAGAACAAACACUAGGCUUGCUAGGUGAAUCUUUUAUUUGCAGGAAAGAAGAUAAAUAGUUUAGAGUGGAGUUAGAAGGAUGACCAAGGCAUUUAUACCAUUGAUCCCUAGUGGCUUUUAUCCCUAAUUUAGAAGUAAAACAACGAAAUUUGUUGGUGCAACUCUUAUUCCCAUUGAUUGGAUAAAGGCCAUUCUCAACCAGCCCUUGGAGCAGCAGUCGUCUGGUCUUGUUUUCCUUGACAAAAAAAGUAGUUCCAGUAAGUAUGAAGUAACAAUUACUGUCUAGGCAGAAUUGAUUAAUGGACAACAGAUUAGAUGCAGCUUGAGGACAAUACAAGACAUUAUUCAGACGAAAAGAAUUAUGUGAUGUAUUUAACAAGGAGGAACCAGUGUUUUGAAUCAUCAAACCUGAACCAUUGCCUACUUGGACAGUAUCCAUACCAUCAUAAGGCUACAGAGUUGUUAAAUCUGCUGCAUUAGCAGUAAUGUGAGCAUUAGCCCCACUAUCAGUAUACCAAGUUUGUUGCUCAGAAGUAUUAUUGGCUUCAGCAACCAUUGCUGACAAUUCAGAAGGAGGUGGUCUGCCUUGGAAAGAAAAGUUAAACCGCUGAAAACAAUCCAACGCAGCGUGACCAUAUUUGUCACAGAUUUGACAUUGUGGUCUGUCAUAUAAAGGUACAUGAUCACUAUGAGGCUAAAUUCUGGAAGUGCCUCGAGAUUGUGGUAAUGCAGAAGUUUGCUGGAAUUUAGCAGGAAUAGUUGCAAGUUUCCUUUUUGGAUAAUGAGAUGUUUUUGCAGCAAAGGCAAAACUACGAGUUUGGAUUGUAGUGGAAGCUUCAAGUAAUGUUUCAAAACUCAGAAGUUCAGAUUGAAAAUCAUCCAGAGACAGAUCCUUAUCUCUGCAAGCAAAAUUAUAGGACGUGAUAAAGGGUGUAUAGGUGCAUGGGACGAAGUCCUCCAAUUAAAAAUGUAAUGAAGUCUUGAUCAUCUACAGGUUUGCCUACAGCAGCAAGUUGGUCAGCCAACUGUUUAGCAUCUUCAAGAAAUGCAGAACAUGGUCGAUUGCCUUGAACAAGAGUCUGAAGUUGUUUCUUAAGAAGAGCAAUGCGGGAUCUUGAGGUAGAUGAGAAUCUUGCCUGAAGAGAGUCCCAAACUUGUUUGGAAGUCUUUAGAUUAAAGACAGUAAAAACUAACUUCUUAGAAAUGGAAGCUAGCAGCCAGCUGAGAACACAAUUAUCCUUUUUGAACCAAAUUGUGUAGGCUGGAUUAGAAUAAUUAUCUGGAAAAGUUCUGGUUGGUGGCUCUUCAGAACCAUCAAUCAUACCAUCCAGAUCAUGACUGCGAAGAAAAACUUGAAAUUGAACACUUCAUGGCAGAUAAUUAUGUCCUUCAAGUCUCUGGCUGACUGGUUGUGAAUUGAAUUGAAUUUUUUAGGUGAAGAGAACAGAGGAAGGAUUGUGGAAUCAGACGAAGUCAUGGUUGAGAUGAAGAAAUAGAGAAAGAGUAUAUUUGUGUUUAAUGUGCGGAAGCUGUGGUAGAUCAGGUGUUAACUGAUACCAUGAAAGAUUAAACAAAUAUAUGCUGACAGAAGAUGAAUAAAUUUAUUCUCUGCAUUCACAAUAAUGUUUUACAGUGUACAGUGUACAUAUAUAUAUGCGUACAACUUGAAAAUACGAUAGGUGCAGGUAUUUAAAUUUUAAACUAUUACAUAUUAUCUUUAUUCAUCUUCUUCUGAUCUUCCUCUAUCUUUUUCUGAUCUUUCUCCUAUGCUUGAUUCUAUUCCUGAUUUAUUUAAGGUUGUUAUGCUAUUCAAUACUCUAACAUCAGUAAAUUUGCUAGUGGGGAUAACAAAGAAUUUUAAAUUAGCAGGUUUAAACCCUAUGCUUGAUUCUCCAUAGUUGACCAUUUUCCAUGUGUGAACUAUAGUCUUCUUUUCACACGUAUAUGCACCGUUAUAAUUAAUGAUAUUAAACUGGCCCUGUACGGUCACUCGGUACAAGGCUGUGUCAUGAGUCGGAGAAUUUAACCUUAUCCUAUUCAGUGACCUGCUCCAAGACCCGUUUCAUGAGUUAGAACAAUUUAAUUUUUAUUAUUAAAAUAAUAUAAAUUAUAUUUGUACAUCUUACUUAAUAAUUGUUUAAGCUAUUGAGUUGAGGUAAUUUUCUGACAUGAUAAUUCAAAAUAUUAUUGUUAUUAUUUUUAAAUUCAAACAAUGUUAUUUAAAAAUAAAAUAAAAAAAUAAAAUUGAGUUUUAACGGGUUGACUCCUAUCAUAACUAUAGACCAGCUUUGGUCGGGCGGGACACCUGUCAGGAGGAGCCGGGCUGGGUAUAAUGUACAUGGUUAGAAGUAAAGCAGGAAAAAAUGUAGCUUUUUCAUGGAAGUCAGAUGAGAGGAACCAAGUAUGAGUUCAUUUUCUGCUACUUUUUCAUGUUUAUGCAUACAUCAUGGUAGGGACUAGGAACAUUAAGGCUGUGACAACUCUUCAUAGUCACUGCUUGUUACUUUAUGAGAGUGCAUGAAACAAAUUUGAAGGCAGAAAUUGUUUUUUCCUAUGAUAUUUUUGCCUGUCAUAGUUUAUACGAAAACAUUAAAUAUAUAAGGAGGAUAUUUUUGCCCGUCAUAGCUUUUAGACAAGAAGGAUAUUUUUGCUGGGGAUCUCGAGCUGUGCGUGUUUUCAUAUGAUUUAACUUUUAAGAGGAUGUUUGGAAGUGUGAUAGCCAUUGUUUUUUAAAAUGUUUAUUAUUUUAAAAUAUAUUAAAAUAAUAUUUUUUUUAUUUUUUAAAAAUUAUUGUUUACAUCAUAACAUCAAAAUGAUAUGAAAAUAUAAAAAAUAUAUUAAUAAAAAUAUAAAAAAAAAUUGAACUUUUUUUAUAAGCGCUUUCAAAACAUAAUGCGAAACACUGCAUUAGGAGUAGUCACCUGCUUCUGGACGGUCUCUAGAGCGUGUUUGGUAGUGUGGUUGCGGGUGCUUUUCAAAUAGCUUUUCGUGCCGAAAUACAUGCCAAUGAUGUUUUUUCAUUUUUUAAAAAUCAUUUUUGACAUCAGCACAUCAAAACGAUCCAAAAAGUACAAACCGCACUCAAUUUUAGUAAAAAAAAAAAUUCAAAAUUUGAUGAAACGCAGUUACAAACACAAUGCCAAACGGUGUCUAAGAGUAUGUUAAUGAUAUAAAAAAAAUCCUCAAACUUAGUAUAAUUAUUUUCUAUAUCAAUAUUUACCCCUAAAACUAAUUUAAUUUCUCAAUUAUGACUUUUAUAAGAAUUACUUAAUAGAAAGCAUUAAAUUUUCAAAUGAUGUCAUGUUUUUACAAAGGAAAAGUACAAUUUUGAUUGGAAACGUGGAUGAAAUGUCUUAAGAGAUUGAGAUUGAGAUUUUAUGUAUAGUUGGAGGGCAUUUGUGAAGUUUUCCCUAGCUUGCAUGGUGUCCAUGAUGGCCAUAUUUAUUCCUAUGUGGACCCAUUCCACCUCAUUUCUUAUCCCAUGGCCUCCAUGCUCAUGCUUAUCAUUUGAUUUAUCAAAUAGUUGGUUAAUGCAGAGAUCUUGUUAGAUUUUAUGAGAUAUGGACUUGCUUUACGUACUGUCUGUUAAAUGGAGAUAACAAAAGUCUUCUUAAUUGAACAAUUAUGCCUGUGAGUGUUCAAAUUAAAGGAGGCACGGAAACUAGUAUUCUUCUUGCAAUUUAAUUCCCAAAGUUAACUACGACUACAACCGUCCCUAGUUUUUCUAUUUCGAUUGCAAUAAAACAAGUAAAAAGUAGAGGAACAAAAUAAAUUAGUAGCUUCAUUAAUUUCCCUUUUAAUUCAAAAUCACUCAUGAUUAUCUAAGAACACGUACUUUCAUACGUACACAUGGAUCCUUCAGUUGAGUUCUAAGAAGUCAUCUGGACAACGUAAUAUUAUAUCUGAGCACAAAGUUUUGAUUUGCCUUUCUAAGAACAUAUAAAGCAAAUACUUGUGUUUGUGAAACUUGACAAGCUUAUUUAUAAAAUAAGGUGUUGGUAUAAUUAUUCUUCAUUGCCUUGGACAAAAUGAUUAAUUUGUCACAAUUCAAUGAACCAAAUUGCACUGGAUUGGUAUACUUUCCAUAUGAUGUCAUGGGAAUUUCAAUUCCUAUGAUUAGGCAUGGUUUAAUACAACUGGCUGGAUAAACAACUGCAAUUUACAACAUUAAUUUCUUUGAAAUUAAUUUGAUUUUUCUUCUCAUUUGUUUCUGAUAAGGUUAUUUUGAUCAUCUUAUCCAAUAAACAAUUUCCACAAGUUUCAUGUUAUUCAUAAUCAAAACGAUCAAAAUAUCAUUCAUCAUCUAACUUAGCUAUUCUAGUUUCAUUAAUAUGAUAUAGUCUACAAUGUUAUAAAUAAAAUAAUUAUUAAUUAUUUAACUAAAAAAUAUUUAAAAAAUAGAAGCCACCGCAACACCAAAUGAAUAUGUACAAUGACACACGGGAAUGACCUAAUAUUUCUUUUUAGAUUAACGUGGAUAUUCGGGUCAACUUGCGCGAACCUCGAUUAAUCCCACGAGCUUUGAAAUUAACAACCAUGUAAGUUUUCAGUGACUCUAAAGUUUACGAAACUCGAACUAAUCAUCUUUAAAAAACCACCCUAAAAUCUAACUACUAAAAGUACAUCCACCAUCUAAUAUUGAUGGAAGAGCGAUCUGUUAAUUCUACAAGCACAAGCUACCUCUGGAGCUGUUUCAAAUCAAAUUUCUUACCAUUAGAUAAGCAACGGCGUCAAAGUUUGGUGAAUGAAUUAAGCAUGCGUGAAAGAUGUCAUUGUUGAUUUUUCUAUUUUAUUUGUGUUUAUGAUUCUUUGACGUAUGGUUUGGCAGACUUAACUGGCAAUUACGUGAGUUAACGCAAACAUGCAUGCAUAUAUAUAUAUAUAUAUAUAUAUAUAUAUAUAUAUAUAUAUAUAUAUAUUGAACAUUCAACCUAAUUACGUGACACAUAUAUUUACCUUACCAUAGGAUUAGAAAAUUAUGUAUUUCACAAAAUGAAAUAAUGUAAUGUAAUUCUCAUAAAAUAAAAUAAAACUUGAUUUAAUCCUGAUAAAUAUAGUUUAAUUGAUCAGUCAUUGAAUUUACUUUCAAAGAUCAUCAGUUCGAGUCCCAUAAAUUUCAUGGUCAUUAAAGGUUUAUAUGGUUGUUAACUUUAGGAUGUCGAGAGAUUAGUCGAGAUGCACAUAAACUGACCUAAAUACUCACAAUUACAAAAUAAUAAAAACUUAAUUUUAAUUUCACCAACGAAACGUGCCAUGUUUAAUUUCUUGUUAUGUAAAAAUUAAAUAAAUAAAUUAGAGUUAUUGAAACUGGAAGAAAUCAUAAGCUACUGUGCAGGAAAAAAAUAAUUAAUAAAUGCAUUCCAAGCUGGAGAUAUGGUAAAGGAAAACAGGAAUUUAAUUCAACUUGGAAUAUAUUUAGAUCAGGAUGGUUUUUUUUUUUUUGGAUAGCAUCAUGGAAGAGUACAUGGUCAAGAUAAGAAUGCUUUUGUUUGAGAGAUCAAUUUCUCAACAUUGUUGUUUUAUUUCAAGUUUUACAAGCUAUUAGAAUAUAUAGUAAUAUUCUCUUGGUUUCUUCCUAAAGCAGCCAUGGAUAUGGUUCUUCAUUAUAUAAAACGUGAAAAGCAUAUGUAAAAUUGCUUCUACUAUUUUAUGUUGGUGAAGCACACCAGUACACGUAAAAAGAAGGAUAAAAAACAGGAAUGCUUGUAUGAAUUCCGAAAGGGCUGCUAUACAAGCCACCAAGAAUCCUACCAUUCUUCAUGGAACUUGGAACAAACAAUGUGAGAAGCAUAACUAUUAAUCCUGAUUGAGAGGUUGAUCCGGUGUAAAAUCAAUGUUACUGAUUAGACAAAUUAAUUUGAAUUUAUUUAUUUAUUUUUAAAUUUAAAACAACCCCUGAAUUAUAUAAAAAAAAUUAAUAAAUUUUAAUGUAAUCAACCGAGUCCUAGAUUAACCCAAAUAUUUUAGAUCAACUUCACUUAUUUUUUUAAAAAAAAUUAAUUUUAACUAGGUUUCAGAUCAACCUGAUGGAUUGAAUGGUUUAGUAACCCUCUACGAUUUGUCACUUGAUUGCUCCCUUCAACAAUUGAACAAUGACCUUUUUUAAAAAAAAAAAUUCUCCUUUGAAAUUAUUUUUUAUAUUUCCUCAAAUCAAACUGGAUUUGAUGCACAUAAUCUAAGUUAAUAUAAUUGAGAUCUUCAAAAUAAAAAAAGUCCAUGUGGGUGCGUGUGUAGUACAAGUCCUUGAAAGAAGUAGGUCAGUCUCCCUUGAAUAUAUCUAUCAGAAGACUAGCAAUAGGAUCAUAGCUAAAUCAUUAAAUGAAGAAGAAGACUUUUAUCAAAGUGAUUUUCAUUUUUCUUUAAAAAAGCAAGUGAACAGAACCUGCAAUGAAGCUUCCACAUGCGUAUAUUUCACUAUAAAUACCACCACACAAUCAUACCUUCCUCUCACAAUAAUUCCUAACACAAGCAAUUGUCUUUAUAUUCUUUGUUGACGCCAAGAGACGAAGCAAGCAAGAAAAAGAGAGAAAAAUGUUGCAUAGCAUUAUUGAUGCCAUUACAGGUGAUCAUAGUAAUGGUACUAAAAAGAUGGUGAAGAAAAUCAAAGGGACUGUUGUGCUGAUGAAGAAAAAUGUUCUGGACUUCAAUGAUUUCAAUGCAUCAGUUCUUGAUCGUGUUCAUGAGUUCUUAGGCCAAAGAGUCUCUCUGCAACUCGUUAGCGCUGUUAACAGUGAUCCCUCUGGUGAGUCGUUGAUAUAUAUUUCUUUAUUUUGUUGCUUUUUCAACCUCGAAAACCAUUUUUUGUGGGAUAAUUUGAGCCUGAACCUCUUCAGGAACCAUCUUCUUAUGCUUCAUUCUCUGUAGUUUACUAGUAUCCAUGCAUGGACGUACUUCACCUUGGAUGAAGUAAAGCAAGCAAAAUAUUUGUAGCGUAUCAAGGAAAUCAGAUAAGAGGAACCAAGAUCAUGUUCAUGAUCUGCUUGUUAAAGACUCAUCAAUUAAUUACUUCUUAAUGACUUGAUUAGGAAUGGAUCAUCACUUUUUAAUAUAUUGUUUGUGCUUGAAAAAAGUAGAAACUUGUGCAUAAACACCACAGGGAGCAUACAAGUUGAUUUGGUAAGGCACGAAACCCACUACUGCUACUUUUUGGACAUGUAUGGAUGAUCAUGUCGAGGACUAGGGGCAUAAAGAUUCUGACAUUACAUAUACCUAAAUGCAGUGUGCUUAGAGUAAAUUUCUAAAUCGAAAUGAGGCCAAACCAAGUCACGGGCAUCACCUCAAGUGGACCUUUUUUUUAUUUCGUUUAUAUAAUCUUUGGACCUGCUAAUAUUUCAUAAUUAGAUAUAAUUGCCUUUGUAGUAGAGGGGGCAUAAGGCUUAUCGAGGGACUUGAUUGGCUGCUCUUAAUUGUAGAAUUAUAGCUUGAUUUAAUUAUGAAGUAAGGGAUUACUCUAUUAAUUAGUUCUUAACCUGAAGAGAAACCUCAUGUUUUAUUUAUUAAUCAAGAUAAGGUAAAAAUAGUAUUUUCAAUACAUGAACAUAUGCAGAUGCCAUAUAGUAUUUGUCGUCUCAUCGAACUCCAUGCAUUAUUUGAUAGUGAUUUUGAGAAGCAUAAAUUCACUUACCUUUCAACAAACCGCAUGCCACAACCUAUACCUCGAAACGAAAUUUCAUUGCAAGUGAGAUAUUUUGUGUUGCAUGACUCUAUAUAUCCCACCAUAAUUGUCACAUCAUUUGUAAUUAUAAUAACAGUAAAUGGACCUGCAAUUUCCUGAGAUUAUACUGUAAUUAGCUAUCUAAAGUGGAUUUUGGUGCCUUUUGUAGAGAAUGAUUUGAAAGGGAAGCUAGGAGAGCCUGCAUAUUUGGAAGAAUGGAUUACCACCAUCACUUCCUUAACCGCCGGCGAGUCGGCUUUCAAGGUCACCUUUGACUGGGAUGAGGAGAUUGGAGUUCCAGGGGCAUUUCUGAUAAGAAACAAUCAUCACAGUGAAUUCUACCUCAAGACUGUCACACUUGAAGAUGUUCCUGGCCAAGGCCGAGUCCACUUUGUUUGCAACUCGUGGAUUUAUCC
RNAcentral lists this long non-coding RNA (25566 nucleotides) under Populus trichocarpa (black cottonwood). RNAcentral's name for it is "long non-coding RNA (PTRI_LNC001400)". The record is from RNAcentral. Lineage: Eukaryota; Viridiplantae; Streptophyta; Magnoliopsida; Malpighiales; Salicaceae.